GGGGAGAUCUUUUUAAUUAUUAUUUCGACAUUAUCGAUACACUUGUCAAAAGGUCAUCGAGUUUUUGGCGUCAUUGUCGGGGAUUAUUGAUUUCAACAAAGCAGUUUUUGUGCGACGGCUUUAAGUUUCGUAAUUAUUUUUUUAUAGUUUUUUUAGUUAAAUUUUUGUUAUUGUAAAUUUUUUCGCUUUAUUCAAGUUUUCUAAUUUUUGUUCUUAUUUAUUUUUUAGCUAGUCCAGUGUUACUGAGGUAUUU
This 253-nucleotide long non-coding RNA is filed under the name Lathyrus oleraceus (garden pea). RNAcentral describes it as "Pisum sativum (pea) long non-coding RNA (PSAT_LNC035819)". The record is from RNAcentral. Lineage: Eukaryota; Viridiplantae; Streptophyta; Magnoliopsida; Fabales; Fabaceae.